Molecule: ribosomal RNA, 467 nt
Filed under: uncultured bacterium
Lineage: Bacteria
Description: partial 16S ribosomal RNA
Rfam family: Bacterial small subunit ribosomal RNA
Source: RNAcentral
GACGAACGCUGGCGGCGUGCUUAACACAUGCAAGUCGAACGGAAAGGCCCUGCUUUUGUGGGGUGCUCGAGUGGCGAACGGGUGAGUAACACGUGAGUAACCUGCCCUUGACUUUGGGAUAACUUCAGGAAACUGGGGCUAAUACCGGAUAGGAGCUCCUGCUGCAUGGUGGGGGUUGGAAAGUUUCGGCGGUUGGGGAUGGACUCGCGGCUUAUCAGCUUGUUGGUGGGGUAGUGGCUUACCAAGGCUUUGACGGGUAGCCGGCCUGAGAGGGUGACCGGCCACAAGGGACUUGAGAUACGGCCAAGCAUCUAAGGGGGGGGGAAGAGGGGAAAAAUCGGACAGUGGGCGAAGCCCUGAUAAAAAACCGCCGGGGGGGGGAUGACGGCGUUCGGGUUGUAAACCGCUUCGGCCUGUGACGAGGGGGAAGGGACGGAAAUGGGGAAGGAACCCCCGGCAAACCACGG